This 283-nucleotide ribosomal RNA is filed under the name uncultured bacterium. Its description in RNAcentral is "partial 16S ribosomal RNA". It matches the Rfam family "Bacterial small subunit ribosomal RNA", at positions 773 to 1060 of the family's 1533-position model. The record is from RNAcentral.
GUGGAUUAGAUACCCUGGUAGUCCACGCCCUAAACGAUGAUAACUCGCUGCUAGCGAUAUACAGUUAGCGGCCAAGCGAAAGCGUUAAGUUAUCCACCUGGGGAGUACGCCCGCAAGGGUGAAACUCAAAGGAAUUGACGGGGGCCCGCACAAGCGGAGGAGCAUGUGGUUUAAUUCGAUGAUACGCGAGGAACCUUACCCGGGCUUGAAAGUUACUGAAUAACUCAGAGAUGAGUUAGUCCUUCGGGACAGGAAACUAGGUGCUGCACGGCCGUCGACAACU